This 253-nucleotide ribosomal RNA is filed under the name uncultured bacterium. RNAcentral's name for it is "partial 16S ribosomal RNA". It matches the Rfam family "Bacterial small subunit ribosomal RNA", at positions 524 to 776 of the family's 1533-position model. The record is from RNAcentral.
UACGAAGGGGGCUAGCGUUGCUCGGAAUGACUGGGCGUAAAGGGCGCGUAGGCGGCCCUGCAAGUCAAAGGUGAAAUCCCUCGGCUCAACUGAGGAACUGCCUUUGAAACUGCGGGGCUUGAGGCCGGGAGGGGGUAGCGGAAUUCCCAGUGUAGCGGUGAAAUGCGUAGAUAUUGGGAGGAACACCAGUGGCGAAGGCGGCUACCUGGACCGGUACUGACGCUGAGGUGCGAAAGCGUGGGGAGCAAACAGG